Molecule: ribosomal RNA, 490 nt
Filed under: uncultured bacterium
Lineage: Bacteria
Description: partial 16S ribosomal RNA
Rfam family: Bacterial small subunit ribosomal RNA
Source: RNAcentral
AUUGAACGCUGGCGGCAUGCCUUACACAUGCAAGUCGAACGGCAUCGCGGGAACGCUUGCUUUCCUGGCGGCGAGUGGCGAACGGGUGAGUAACACAUCGGAACGUACCGGCUAGUGGGGGAUAACCCGUCGAAAGACGGGCUAAUACCGCAUACGCUCUUCGGAGGAAAGCAGGGGACCUUUGGGCCUUGCGCUAGCCGAGCGGCCGAUGUCCGAUUAGCUAGUUGGUGGGGUAAAGGCCUACCAAGGCGACGAUCGGUAGCGGGUCUGAGAGGACGAUCCGCCACACUGGGACUGAGACACGGCCCAGACUCCUACGGGAGGCAGCAGUGGGGAAUCUUGGACAAUGGGGGCAACCCUGAUCCAGCAAUGCCGCGUGGGUGAAGAAGGCCUUCGGGUUAUAAAGCCCUUUCGGCAGGGAAGAAAUCGGCGGGGCGAAUAACCCUGCUGGAUGACGGUACCUGCAGAAGAAGCACCGGCUAACUACGUG